AGAGUUUGAUCAUGGCUCAGGACGAACGCUGGCGGCGUGCUUAACACAUGCAAGUCGAACGAUGAAGCCCAGCUUGCUGGGUGGAUUAGUGGCGAACGGGUGAGUAACACGUGAGUAACCUGCCCUUGACUUCGGGAUAACUCCGGGAAACCGGGGCUAAUACCGGAUAUGAGCUACCUUCGCAUGGGGGUGGUUGGAAAGUUUUUCGGUCAGGGAUGGGCUCGCGGCCUAUCAGCUUGUUGGUGGGGUGAUGGCCUACCAAGGCGACGACGGGUAGCCGGCCUGAGAGGGCGACCGGCCACACUGGGACUGAGACACGGCCCAGACUCCUACGGGAGGCAGCAGUGGGGAAUAUUGCACAAUGGGCGCAAGCCUGAUGCAGCGACGCCGCGUGAGGGAUGAAGGCCUUCGGGUUGUAAACCUCUUUCAGCAGGGAAGAAGCGCAAGUGACGG
This 453-nucleotide ribosomal RNA is filed under the name Cellulosimicrobium cellulans. RNAcentral describes it as "bacterial SSU rRNA". It matches the Rfam family "Bacterial small subunit ribosomal RNA", at positions 8 to 475 of the family's 1533-position model. The record is from RNAcentral. Lineage: Bacteria; Bacillati; Actinomycetota; Actinomycetes; Micrococcales; Promicromonosporaceae.